This 440-nucleotide ribosomal RNA is filed under the name uncultured bacterium. Its description in RNAcentral is "partial 16S ribosomal RNA". It matches the Rfam family "Bacterial small subunit ribosomal RNA", at positions 338 to 795 of the family's 1533-position model. The record is from RNAcentral.
CCUACGGGAGGCAGCAGUAGGGAAUAUUGCACAAUGGGGGAAACCCUGAUGCAGCGACGCCGCGUGGAGGAUGAAGUUUUUCGGUUUGUAAACCUCUAUUGUCAGGGAAGAUAAUGACGGUACCUAACUAAUAAGCCCCGGCUAACUACGUGCCAGCAGCCGCGGUAAUACGGAGGGUGCAAGCGUUAUCCGGAUUUACUGGGCGUAAAGAGCGCGUAGGCGGGGUAGCAAGUCUGAUGUGAAAUCUUAGGGCUUAACCAUAGAACUGCAUUUGAAACUGUUAUUCUAGAGUAUGGGAGAGGUAGGUGGAAUUCUUGGUGUAGGGGUGAAAUCCGUAGAGAUCAAGAGGAAUACUCAUGGCGAAGGCGGCCUGCUGGAACGUAACUGACGCUGAUGCGCGAAAGCGUGGGGAGCAAACAGGAUUAGAUACCCGAGUAGUC